Molecule: long non-coding RNA, 233 nt
Organism: Drosophila navojoa
Lineage: Eukaryota; Metazoa; Arthropoda; Insecta; Diptera; Drosophilidae
Source: RefSeq, a predicted model, not a curated record
GCUGCUGUUGCUUGUUUGGCUUUUAAUUAUGGCGCGGUGCGCCGACGCCAACAAUAAAUUUUGAUGUGCAUAAAAGCUACUUAUAAAUAAUACAUAUACACACUCACACACACACACACACACACACACACAUGUAGAGAGAGUGAGAGAGAGAGGGGGGAGUGAGCUAUACACACGCACACGCAGGCAGCGUUGCGGCAGUGAAGAAUUCGUUGACGUCGUCGUUGAGUUUA